GCCCCUGUGGCGGAACUGGCAGACGCGCUGGAUUCAAAAUCCUGUUCUAGCAAUAGAGUGUCGGUUCGACCCCGACCGGGGGCACCA
RNAcentral lists this transfer RNA (87 nucleotides) under bacterium. RNAcentral's name for it is "tRNA-Leu". It matches the Rfam family "tRNA". Rfam says of the family: Transfer RNA (tRNA) molecules are approximately 80 nucleotides in length. Their secondary structure includes four short double-helical elements and three loops (D, anti-codon, and T loops). RNAcentral also lists the same sequence under 1 other name. The record is from RNAcentral.